RNAcentral lists this ribosomal RNA (253 nucleotides) under uncultured bacterium. Its description in RNAcentral is "partial 16S ribosomal RNA". It matches the Rfam family "Bacterial small subunit ribosomal RNA", at positions 524 to 776 of the family's 1533-position model. The record is from RNAcentral.
UACGUAGGGGGCAAGCGUUGCUCGGAAUCACUGGGCGUAAAGGGUGCGUAGGCGGGUCUUUAAGUCAGGGGGGAAAUCCUGGAGCUCAACUCCAGAACUGCCUUUGAUACUGAGGAUCUUGAGUCCGGGAGAGGUGAGUGGAACUGCGAGUGUAGAGGUGAAAUUCGUAGAUAUUCGCAAGAACACCAGUGGCGAAGGCGGCUCACUGGCCCGGUACUGACGCUGAGGCACGAAAGCGUGGGGAGCAAACAGG